This 75-nucleotide transfer RNA is filed under the name Rasboroides vaterifloris (pearly rasbora). Its description in RNAcentral is "tRNA-Lys". It matches the Rfam family "tRNA". Rfam says of the family: Transfer RNA (tRNA) molecules are approximately 80 nucleotides in length. Lineage: Eukaryota; Metazoa; Chordata; Actinopteri; Cypriniformes; Danionidae. The record is from RNAcentral.
CACUAUAAAGCUAAAAAUCGUAUAAGCAUUAGCCUUUUAAGCUAAAAAUUGGUGACUAACGACCACCUUUAGUGA